RNAcentral lists this ribosomal RNA (266 nucleotides) under uncultured bacterium. Its description in RNAcentral is "partial 16S ribosomal RNA". It matches the Rfam family "Bacterial small subunit ribosomal RNA", at positions 793 to 1055 of the family's 1533-position model. The record is from RNAcentral.
GUCCACGCUGUAAACUAUGGAUACUCGGUGUAAGAGGGAAUCGACCCCCUUUUGUGCCUAAGCUAACGCGUUAAGUAUCCCGCCUGGGGAGUACGGCCGCAAGGUUAAAACUCAAAGAAAUAGACGGGGACCCACACAAGCGGUGGAACAUGUGGUUUAAUUCGAUGAUAAACGAGGCACCUUACCCAGGCUUGACAUCUCCGGAACCCUGAAGAAAUUUGGGGGUGCCGUAAGGAACCGGAUGACAGGCGCUGCAUGGUCGUCGU